Molecule: long non-coding RNA, 25981 nt
Filed under: Jatropha curcas
Lineage: Eukaryota; Viridiplantae; Streptophyta; Magnoliopsida; Malpighiales; Euphorbiaceae
Description: long non-coding RNA (JCUR_LNC002862)
Source: RNAcentral
UCCUUUAAUUACGGGGCAGCAAACAUUCUCAACUGGAUUCCCUAAUCCAACAUGCACUAAUCCUCCUAAUACAUCAACACAAGCCCCUAGCUUAAGGGCGUUGAUUGGACAAGUGGGUUGAGUAGUAGGUGGAGGAUUAAGCCCCGGAACACCACCACCACCACCUCCUCCUCCUCCUCCUCCACCGCCUCCGCCACCGCCGCCGCCUCCGCCACCACCAGAUGGAGGGCUAGGCGUGUAUGGUGGGUAACCUGAAGAAGGCGGCGGUGUUAUUACAGGAGGAGGUGUUAUUAUUACAGGAGGGUUUACUACAGGAGGAGGAUUAAUGACUAUUGGUGGCAAAACCACUGGUGGGUUUUUUGUUGAAGGUGGUUUUGGGUGGCCGCCGUGGUGUGGUGGGUGCUUGGUGCUUGGUGGGUUAGGAUGAGGAACUUUUGGGUGGGUUGGACGGUGGCCUGGUGGAUGUGGCUGAGUACAAGGUGCACAAGCAUAAAUUGGUGGCAAUGAUAUUGCCAUGAAAAUCAUAAAAAUGAAUAACAAAGCUUCAAGUUUAGAACCCAUGAUUGUUAGGGUUCUCUUGAAAUUUGCUAAACUAAUAUUCUUUUUCUUGUGUAUUUUGAUUGGUUUGGGUCCUAUCAUUAUAUAGCUGAAUUCUAUAAGCAACCCGUGAACUAGCUAGUUUUCCGAGUACGUGGAAGCUAAAAAAAGUACUCUUAACAUCAUUUUUAGAGAAACAGGCAAUCUUAAACUGGAAAUUUGGAUUUUUGCUGGUCAAUUUCAAACUCCAAUGCGUAUCCGUGACUCCUUUUCAGUUUCUGCAGGGACAGAUUCUUUUUUCUUUAUUGUUUUUCAUUUGCAUGUCUCUUGAUUUUCUUUUUGGAUGCCAAUAUCAUUUCUUUUUUGAUUUUUAAAUGGGUUGUCUUAUUUAUUUUGCAAAAAAUAUAUAGCAUGAAAUAAUCUAUAGUUUUGAAGUUACAGGCACAUGGAGUCUUAUACUUCGGGUCUACAUACUGUACUCUAUUAUUUCUGUUGGCGGUUUUGAUGAUAAUGGUGGGUGCUGGAUCUAUUGUAGAAGAUGGAGGUUUUAGGGUUUUGCAUUUUGCAGUACAGGCAUGCAUUAUAUUAUUGAGUUCAGUUCACGAAGUAAACAUGUGAACGUUUCUAUGUGGUUUUGUUUUCUUGCAUUUUAAAACGUUAUCAGCAGUAGAAAACUUCUAUACAUGUGUUUUUCUGUAUAUGUUACUUAAGCCAUGGUGUAAAGUCUUUUGAUCCACAUUGCGAAACUUGUCCUCAUCCAUAAUUAGCCAAGACAUUAAAAUCAAACAUAUUCAUUUUCUGUCAUUUACACAUUAUUCAUGUGAAUUUUCGGAAUUGUGUUGUCAUUCUGAUCAGGAGUUGCAAUAUCCUUUAGAAGCAUUUUUCGUAGUGGAAACAAAUUUAUUUUAUUUAUGCACAAAUCCUUAAUUAUUGUUGUUAUAUUAUUAUUAUGAUUAUUUUGCAUUAAUUAAACAAAAAUUCUUUAAGUAAAAUUUAACUGCGUAGAUAGAUAUAUUCUCUGAAGAAAAAUAUGACAUUAUUUAGUUGGCGGAUAAAUAUCAUUAACUUUAAUCUAAUUUGCAUAUAAAAGAACUACAAAUUGUCGGUUCUUUCCCCUGUUCAUCGCCCCAGUUGUUCACAAAUUUUGGCCUUUUUGUUUUCUUGCGCAUAUAAGAAAUAUAAAAAUAAUUUAGAUGCUUUCUAAAGAAGAAAAUCCCCAAUGGUACAUUGAUUUGUUAUGAAUUGUUGGUGGUAACACCAUCCAAUUAUUAGUUAGCGAAGUGUAAUUUGAAAGGCUUCUAUUUUUAAGUAGCACAAACUGUAACUUCUAAUUUAAUUCGCCCAAUUUUGUCAAGCAAUGACCAGGAAAGGUAAGCGCCCACAACAGUAUUAAGUCAACUUGCUUUGGCAUUCACACACAGAGACAGAGGCAAGUGAAAAAAUUUUUUCUUAUUCCAUUUCAUUAACUAAUUGCAAAUAAAACAAUACAGAAAAUGACAUAGAAGAAGGCGAGAUGCCCUUCUUGCCGUGUAAACAAUAAAAAAUGAUUUUGAUCACCAGAAACAAAGGAUGUUAAGCUGCAAGAAUGAAAUGAGAAAAAAUAUUGAAAAUAAUAAUAAUGGAUUAAAUUUAUGCGCACUUGAAUCCUUCAGGAACCUUCUUUCCACAGUAGUUAAGCAACAAGCUCAAGUCAAUAGGAAGAUUUAGGUUAAUGCCCAAAAGACUAGCCUUAAUGGUAGUGCAAAGGCAGACAGCGGCUUCAAGAUCAACAAGAUCGCCAAGGAGGCUACAGCAAGGGGUCUUUGGUGGCUUACCAACUGUAACAUUCAACAAACCCUUCAAAACAUCAACACAUACACCCAGUUUCAAGGUAUCUCUAGGACAAGCACCAGUUGAUGGGUUAGGCGAUGGCUUAGGCUUAGGUUUUGGUGGUGGUGGACAAUUGGUAGAGCUCACUAAAGUGAAGAAGAGAAGGUUCAAGGAGAGAAGAAGGGCAGUGGAGACUAGAGUUCUUGAAGCCAUUUCUCAAGAAUUAAUUAAUUCUUCGGAUAUAUGGUUCUUAAUUUGUUAGCUUCAAGAGACUGACGAACAUCGUAGAAUGGAUUAAGGAAUUUAUAGAUGGAGUUUAAGCAUUGUUUGAGCUUAAAAAAUCAUAAUAAUAUGACCCAUGUGAGAGUACAUUGUUGGAAACAACCUGUCGCUGCAGCUUGAGCUUGGAAUAUAUGUGCAUAUAUGAUUCUUCUUUGAAAAUUCCUAAUAUUGAGUUCGUCUACUUGUAGGCACAUUCAUUCCAUACAAACCGAUUGUUGAAUGAUCUGCCAGCAUCCGUAGUUGGCCAUAUAUUCCUUUUCCGUGAAUCACGCAUCACUGAUGCGGAUUUUUAAAUUGCAUAGCUGAUCUCUUUGAUCUUGACCCAUUAUGUAAACCGUCCUUACUUAAAAGGAAUUUUUUAUGGAUAGAAAAUUUUAUGCUUUUAGAAAAUGUAAAUAAUGAAAAACCCACAUAGGUCUCUUAUAGGACUUUAAAUUUAAAAAGAAAAAAAAGAAAUUAACGUAAUUUUUGUGUAUCAUAUACCACCAUCUUCCUAAUUAUGUGAUCUUAUGCGGAUUAGAGAGGAUUCACAAUGUAUAUAUAUAUAUAUAUAUAUAUGGUUGGCCUUAAAAAUCAAACUCUAGUCAACAUAAUAUUGAGAGUAGUUUUGGAUUUUUUACCGCUAGAUUAAAACUUCAUUUUCAGAAUUUAUUAUUGUCUGCUUACAAAAAAUUAAUUUAACUUAAUUAUUAAGCCAUGUCUCCGGUUGUUUUCUAGAUUUUUUUAUUUAGCGUUUACGAGUUAGGUUGGGUGUAUCAGGGACAUAAUGGAUUGGGUUUAAAAACUUUGAUAUGCUAAGUUAUUUUUAUAAAUUAAUAAAAUAAUUAUAUUUUGCUGAUAAAAAGAAAACACAUAUCUGCAUUCUUAUUAACUUCUAAAACAGGCAUUUCCAUUGAAAGUCAAAAAGAGCAAAAACACUUAUAUAUAAAUAGUUAUUUUCUUACUCGUAGCAGCAGUUGAACGUAUUGUGGGAUCAGUAAAUUUCAGUCAAUCGCAUUACUAAAAUUACUCAUGCAGAUCGAUAAGCUUCAAACUAUAUAUAUAUAUUCAAUCAUUCAUUCGAGGAAUAGAAAGGUUUGAAUAAUUAAUCAUUACCUAUAUAAAAAUAUAUAUAUUUAUUAAAAAUUUAAACACUAAACUAAACUUAUUUAGAUUUUUUUGGAACAUAUUAUUUCAUUAUAUUAAAAAAACAAUACAGACGCACGACGAAGUAGGCAAGAAAACCUUCUUGCCAAAUCGAUUACAACAGUAAGAUAUUAUUUUGAUUGAGCUUCUAUGGCAUAUAUGCCAAGAAAACAUCUCAUGAAUAAAUUAAUACAAAACGAAAGAAUUUAUUUAAAUUAACUUGGAAUAAAUAGAAUGCAUAACAAAUUUAUGCACAUUGAAAUCCUUGGGGGACCUUCUUGCCACAGUAGUUAAGCAACAAGCUCAAGUCAAUUGGAAGAUUUAGGUUAAUGCCCAAAAGACUAGCUUUAAUUGUAGUGCAAAGGCAAACAGCAGCCUCAAGGUCAACAAGGUCGCCAAGGAGGCUACAGCAAGGGGUCUUUGGUGGGGUACCAAUUGUGACACUCAACAAAUCCUUCAAAAGAUCAACACAUACGCCCAGUUUUAGGGUAUCCCUUGGGCAAGCUCCAUGUGAUGGGCUUGGUGUCGGGUUAUUGGGCUUAGGAGAUGGGGUUCUUGGGCUUGGUCUAGGGUUAUUGGGCCUAGGUGAUGGGUUGCCGGGGCUUGGUGUCGGGUUAUUGGGCUUAGGUGAUGGAUUGCUCGGAUUUGGUGUCGGGUUAUUGGGCGUAGGUGAUGGGUUGCUGGGGCUUGGUGUUGGGUUAUUGGGCGAAGGUGAUGGAUUCCUGGGGCUUGGUAUUGGGUUAUUGGGUGAAGGUGAUGGGUUGCUGGGGCUUGGUGUUGGGUUAUUGGGCGAAGGUGAUGGGUUAUUGGGCUUAGGUGAUGGGUUGCCGGGGCUUGGUGUGGGGUUUUUGGGUGUAGGAGAUGGGUUGCUUGGGUUAGGAGAAGGGGUUUUUGGUUUGGGUGAUGGCGUAUCAGGUGGACAAGAGCAAGAGGUGACCAAAGUGAAGAAAAGAAGAUUGAGGGAGAGAAGAAGGGCAAUGGAGGCUGCAGUUCUUGAAGCCAUAUUUCUCUGUGUUUUCUUUAGUUUACUAAAAUAAGUAUGAAGUGAUGAGAAAUGGUGGAGAGGGUGUAGGGUUUUUAUAGAAGGACACCACUUAAGCAUAAAAUUAGAAAAUUAGAAUAAUGUGAUGCAUGUGGAUACAUAUAUUUUUGCAUGGGUAAUAAAUAUUAUGAGACACAAGCUGUCACUUUGCAGCUAGCGUUUGAAAAUCAUCGUCGUUGAAAAAUCUUCAAUAUAAUUAGCAACUACGUGUAGGCACAUUCCAUAGGAAAAAAAUGAAAUUUUGUUUAUUUAUUUGCUUUAAAUGGGUUGUUUUAUUGACUUUAUAAGUGCCUAGUCUCAUAAUUACAUAUAUAGAAUAUUUAUAGUGCAAUAACAGUUGUAGAUAGACAAAAUCCCUGAACUUGGGGAGAAUUUAAGUUUUUUUAAUUACUAUAUUAUUAUUGUUAAAAACCUAUUCUUUAGUCAAGAGCAAUCACCUAUUAUUACAUUGGAAAUUUAUUUCAAUUGAUUCUCUUUGCCUUGUAGUUUUACUUUCCCUAUUAAAUAUAACUCUGAUGUUCCAAUUUUUUAAAUAUUUCUAUUUUUUCAUACGGUAUUGUUUGAUUUAUAAUCCUUUUUAAAAAUUAUUAAUUACUUGCUUGUAUAAAUAAUAAUAUUAAAAAAAGAGUUAUCUAUUGGAGUACGUGAAUAAUCCUACAUCGGAUAAAUAUAACUAAUUAAAAGGGCAUAUAAUUUCAAGGGUGAACUAACCAAAAUAGCUUAGACUAUUUUGUAUUAAAAGUAAGCCCAAUGUUAAAUACAGAUUUGAUUAAUUUGCUCAUAGGCCCCAUAUGCUUAAUAUUAUAUAAAUAAUAAUAAUAAUAACAAACAAUCCCUUAUCCAAAUUCCUCUAAUGAUAUGCUUAAAAUUAUGAUUACAAUUCUUGCAAUUACCCAAAAAUAAGGUGAUUCUUAAUAGAUAAAUAUAUUAAAAUUCUUUAAUUUUAUUUAAUUAAAUAAAAUCAUGAAUAAGUUAAAAUAUAUUCGACAAUUAAAUAAAUUAAAUUUAAAUAAAAUUUUAAAUUGGAUGUAUCAAAUCACAUCUUAUUAAAUAAAAUUUUAAAUUAGAUGUAUCAAAUCACAUCUUAUUCAAAAAAAAAAAAAAAAAGUUAGAUCACCUCUGUUUAAAUUAGAUUUAUUUGAUAUAUUUUAUCAAAUCACAUCUUAUUAAAUUAGAUUUAUUUAAUAAGACGUUAUUAGGAGUACAAAACUUCUAUGCUUAUGUUUUUUUAUGUAUAUGAUAUUUUAUUUUCUAUUUAUUGGGAAGGACCACUAAAUCGGAAGAAUAUAAUGUGAUAGCCUUCUCUUUUAUUCAUAAAUUGAUGAAAAUUCUUUAAUUAAAAAGUUUCGGACUUAAAAUUUCUCGCUUAUCAUAUAAAUGAAAAGACCAAUGAUCAGAUCAUACAUUUAAAAAAUUGAUUAAUUCAACUUUCCUCAAAUAACAUUGUUCAUUUCAAAUUAUGUUAUUUAAGCCAUAGAGUAAAUUCUUUUGAUCCACAUUUCAAAGCUUGUCCAACUAAGAUAUGUAGGUAGAAUUUAUAAUAGACCAAAGUAUUAAAAUCAUACAUAUUCUGAUUAAACUUUAUUCAUUUUCUGUAAUUUGAUAAAUUUUGAAAUUCGAACUCAAUUAAUUUAUAACUAUCAAACCGACCUGAAUUAAUUUCGAACUUAGCUAUUUAUAAACGAACGGGUACUGGAGCUCAAGCUCGAGUUAUGCUGCUAGGCGUGUUUAUAACAAUUCCAAUCCUAAGCAUAAUUUGAUGUGUCCUGGAGGAAACACGGUCCAAUUAAUAGUGUUUUUUCUUUCAAAUAUAUCAAUUAAUAAUUGGCAAAGUGUAACUUAAUUAAAAUGCUUUUCUUUUCUUCUUUUUUUUUUUUUUUUCAAAAAGAAAACUUAAAAAGGCUUAUUUUUAUGUGCACGAAUUGUAACUUCCCAUUUAAUUCACUGAACUCUUGGCAAGCCAGAUAAAAAACGUGAUAAUUUUUUUUUAUCUGAAAAAAAAAACAGUAUAUUUAUUGCGUGCAUGGACUGCUACGUAUAACAUGAAGAAUUAGCAAAUUUAGGCACAGAGGAGUAAGGAGUCAACUUCCUUUGGAAUUCACCUUAAACAAUCAACAACACAUAAGCAACUGGAAAAAAAAAACAAUUCUUAUUCCAUUAAAUUAAUUAAUUGCAAAUAAAAAAUAUUACAGAAACAGACAUAUCUAUAGCAGAAGGCGAGAAGCCUUUCUUGCAAUGGAAACAAUAAAUUCUUUUAUCACAAAAAAAAAAAAAAAAAAAAAUCAAAUAGUUACAAGAAUGAAAUGAAAAAAAAAAAAAAACUUGAGAAUAAACAGAAUAAUAAUGGAUUAAAUUUAUGCGCACUUGAAUCCUUCAGGGACCUUCUUGCCACAGUAAUUAAGCAACAAGCUCAAGUCAAUAGGAAGAUUUAGGUUAAUGCCCAAAAGACUAGCCUUAAUGGUGGUGCAAAGGCAGACGGCAGCUUCAAGAUCCACAAGAUCGCCAAGAAGGCUGCAGCAAGGGGUCUUUGGUGGGGUACCAACUGUAACAUUCAACAAACCCUUCAAGACAUCAGCACAUACACCCAGUUUCAGAGUAUCUCUAGGGCAAGCACCAGUUGAUGGGUUAGGCGAUGGCUUGGGCUUAGGUUUCGGUGGUGGUGGGCAAUUGGUAGAGCUCACUAAAGUGAAGAAGAGAAGGUUCAAGGAAAGAAGAAGGGCAGUGGAGACUACAGUUCUUGAAGCCAUUUCUCAAGAAUUAAUUAAUUCUUUGGAUAUAUGGUUCUUAAUUUGUUAGCUUCAAGAGACUGAUGAAAAUGGUGCAAUGGAUUAAGGAAUUUAAGCGCGGUUUGAGCUUUAAAAAUUCUUAUAAUAGAACCCAUGUGAUACAUUGCAAGGGAAUAUUGUUGGAAACAACCUGUCAUUGCAACUUGAGCUUGGACUAUAUAUCAUCCGAUCUUCUUUGAAGAUUCUUGAUUUUAAUUAUGUCUACACAUUGGUCGUUGAAUGUAGAAUCUAUAGUUGGCUAUAUAUCUAUUCCUUUGCGUGAAUCACACAUCAUUGCUGCAAAUCUUGAAAUUCCAUAUACAAUUAAGUAUAACCGUUCUUAAUUAAAAAAGAAUCUUGUAAUGCAUAGACAAUUAUGUUCUUAUAAUAAAAUAUAAACAAUAAAAAACAGAAGAACAAUUGAGGGGAUUGGAGAUCUAUGGUGUAGUGGGUUGCAGCCCCUCUCAACAUAAAACCUCAUAGGUUAGUUCCCCUGUCUCUGGGAGCCAACGGAGAAGAGAAUUACUUGAAACAUUAACUGGACACGGACAAGAGGCAGCAAAGGAGAAUAGUCGAAUUACUUGAACUAUUAAAAGAUUUGAUUUUUUUUUUUUUUUUUUUUUUUUUUUUUUUGUUUAUGGCAAGCAUUGUGGUUGUGGUUGGCCUUACAAUUUUUUUAAAAAAAUUGUGUAUACAUCGUAUUAAAUUCCUCUACACUUUUUUUUUCAUCUUCCUAAUUACGCGAGCUUAAAAUGAUUAGAGAAUGUGCAAUACAAAAAGGAAUUAGAUGGUUGGCCCUGAAAAGUAAACUUUAGAAACAUAAGAUUAUGACAUUAAUUUUUGAAUUUUUUAUCAGCUGUCAGAUGAAAACUUCAUUUCAGAAUAUUUUUUUCCCCUUACAACAAAUUAGCUUAAUUCAAUCGUUAACCUAUGUCUGCAUUUAUAUAUCAACUUCCAAAACAGCCAUUUUCCAUUGAAAUAAACCAAAAAAACACUUAUUUAGCUAUUUUCUUACUCAUAGUAGUAGUUGAAUUUAUCGUGGGGAUAAAUACUUCAACUAAUUAUAUCAGUAUAUUUAUGUUAUAAAUGAAGUGUAAAAUUACUCAAAUUCAAUUUUGUUUCAAAAUAUAUUAUUACUACAUUUUGAUAAAGAAAUUCAACAACAAUAUUUUUAUUUUUAACAUGGUAAUUGAGUAAAAUUUCUUUAGCAAUAUAGCCUCUAGUGUUAGUGUGUAUUUAUAUAUAAAUAUAUAAUGUUUGAAAUUACACGAGAAAGAAGGAUGAAACGAUGAAUAUUUAUUUGUCAUUCAGAAAGAUAUUCUCUCUUCAAUUAUUUAUUCGAGAAAUAGAAAGAUACUAGUUAUUCAUAAUUAGUAUAUAAAAAUAUAAAUUUAUUAGGAAGUAAAAUGCUAAAGUAAUACGAAUUAUUAUCAUUAUGUUUUUUUUGCAACAUCUUAUUAUUUCAUUAUACUAAAAAAACAAUACAAACGCAUGACGAAGAAGGCAAGAAAACCUUCUUGCCAAAUCGAAUACAACAGUAAGAUAUUAUUUUGAUUGAGCUUCUAUGGCAUAUAUGCCAAGAAAACAUCUCACGAAUAAAUUAAUACAGAACGAAAGAACUUAUUUAAAUUAACUUGGAAUAAAUAGAAUGCAUAACAAAAUUAUGCACAUUGAAAUCCUUGAGGGACCUUCUUGCCACAGUAGUUAAGCAACAAGCUCAGGUCAAUUGGAAGAUUUAGGUUAAUGCCCAGAAGACUAGCUUUAAUUGUAGUGCAAAGGCAGACAGCAGCUUCAAGAUCAACAAGAUCGCCAAGGAGGCUACAGCAAGGGGUUUUUGGUGGGGUACCGAUUGUUACACUCAACAAAUCCUUCAAAAGAUCAACACAUACACCCAGUUUUAGGGUAUCCCUUGGGCAAGCUCCUUGUGAUGGGCUUGGUGUAGGAUUAUUGGGCUUAGGGGAUGGGUUUCUUGGGCUUGGUGUCGGGUUAUUGGGCUUAGGUGAUGGGUUUCUGGGGCUUGGCGUGGGGUUAUUGGGCGAAGGUGAUGGGUUGUUAGGGCUUGGUGUCGGGGUUUUUGGCGUGGGUGAUGGAUUGCUCGGGUUUGGUGUCGGGUUAUUAGGCGAAGGUGAUGGGUUGCUGGGGCUUGGUGUUGGGUUAUUCGGUGAAGGUGAUGGGUUUCUUGGGCUUGGUGUUGGGUUAUUGGGCUUAGGUGAUGGGUUGCUGGGGCUUGGUGUGGGGUUUUUGGGUGUAGGUGAUGGGUUGCUUGGGUUAGGAGAAGGGGUUUUUGGUUUGGGUGAUGGCGUAUCAGGUGGACAAGAGCAAGAGGUGACCAAAGUGAAGAAAAGAAGAUUGAGGGAGAGAAGAAGGGCAAUGGAGGCUGCAGUUCUUGAAGCCAUAUUUCUCUGUGUUUUCUUUAGUUUACUAAAAUAAGUAUGAAGUGAUGAGAAAUGGUGGAGAGGGUGUAGGGUUUUUAUAGAAGGACACCACUUAAGCAUAAAAUUAGAAAAUUAGAAUAAUGUGAUGCAUGUGGAUACAUAUAUUUUUGCAUGGGUAAUAAAUAUCAUGAGACACAAGCUGUCACUUUGCAGCUAGCGUUUGAAAAUCAUCAUCGUUGAAAAAUCUUCAAUAUAAUUAGCAACUACGUGUAGGCACAUUCCAUAAAAAAAAAAAAUAAUAAAUAAAAAUUUGUUUAUUUAUUUCCUUUAAAUGGGUUGUUUUGAUGACUUUAUAAGUAGCUUCUGCCUAGUGCUGUUUUGGACGAAUCUCAUAAUUACAUUUAUAGAAUAUUUAUAGCGCAAUAACAGUUGUAGAUAGACAAAAUCCCUAAAGUUGGGGAGCAUUUAAUUUGUUUUAGUAAUUUUUUUUUUGUUUUAAUUAUGUUAAACAAGCUUUUUUUUAGUCAAGAGCAAUCACCUAUGAUUACAUUGGACAGUUAUUUGAAUGUGUUCAAAGUUUAAUGAAAUCUCACUAAACGUCUAAAUUUCUCUUUGCCAUGAUAGUUUGUUUGUUCCAAUUUUUUAACCAAUUCUACAUUUCCAUGUGGUAUUAUUUUAUUGAUUCCUUUUUCAAACAACUUUUACAUCUGCACCUGUUUACACCAUAAUUUGAAUCUAAUUCAUGUUUUUCUUUAUUUAGUGUUUUUUCAGUGGUUUAGUGGUUUAAAUUCCUAAUUUCUUCUGCUACGAUUUCAUUCAAGAUCAAUAAAUUUUGUCGUGCUUUAUCAAUUCAGUUCAUUUUUUAUGUACGAGUUUUAAGAAAAAAAAGUUUUAUUCUCUCUGUAUUAUUUAUAUUGAUUUGAAGUUGAUUAACGAAAUUUUAAUAUAUUAUGGUAGAAAAAAAAGCUAGUGUUAAUUACAAUUUUUCUAAUUCGUUUUUUUCCUUGAUUUCUUUACAAUACAAAUAACAAACAGUUUCAUAUAUCCAAAUUAUUAUAUUGAAAAUUCUUACGUUUCAAAAGUUCCCAAACAAUGAGGUGAUUUCAAUCUCUGGCUUCUCAAAUGAAUGUGUAUUCUUUUAAUCUUACUUUAAGGAUUGUAGCUAAAAAAUUUCAAAUAAAAAUUUUUUUAAAAAAGAGAAAAGUUUGGUAGGAUUAAACAAUCCAAACCAAUCCAACAUGACUCAAUAUUAAAUUUUUUUUUUUUUAAACUCGUUCAUUAAUGCAAACAAAUCAAGCUAAAAUACAAACUGAAACGCGAAUAUUUUUGUGCAUGAGUUUUGUCAUCUACAGACUCGACUCAAAAUCCCAUGAACAACUUUAAGAAAAAAUAAUUUAUGUGCUGAUAUUAUAAAAAUAAUAAUUUUCUUUAUAUUUUAUGAAAAAUUUAUUACAAAAUAAAAGUUAAUUAAAUUUAUUACAAUAAUUUUACAUUUCAACAAUAAUUUGGUUUAACUCAAAAUCAAGUCACAUCUUAUUAAACAUUGCUCGUUUUCAACUCCAUAAAGUAGUACCCGCUUUUGUUCUUUUGGCGUGUGUCUAUGCCUAAGUUUAACAACCAUUACACUUAUAUAUCCUUAGCUAGGAAUGGACAGUUCUGAUUUCUCAUGUGUACCGUGAAAGCAACUGUGCUGCAGAUUGGUUAGCCCAUUUUGGGAGUAGCCUUGCGUUGGGAGUCCAUUUUUUUGAGCUUCCUCCCAAUGGCUUUUCUAGUUUUCUGCUCCAUGAUGUCUGUGGAGUCAGUUAUUCUAGGCUAGUAAUUGUGUAGUUGUUAGUUUUAUUUUCUCUUUUCCAAAAAAAAAAAAAAAAAAAAACCCGUUACACUUAUAUAGAAAACAUUAGUUAUCCCAACAAUUAUCGACCUACGUAUUCAAUAUACUAUAAUUGAGUGCAACAAUAUAUAUCUAUGUGGACGGAAGUCCAAAAUACAUGGUAAGAAGUUAAACCCAGCCUUGAAUUAAUUAAGAAAUACAAAUUAAUAAUAACAUUAUGAAUUAAUUAUUUCAUUUAACAUCAAUUCAAGUAUAUCAUAUACCAAUAAAUUGACGAAAUUAAUUAUUAAUCUAUGCACAUUCAAAUCCUUCAGGAAGCUUCUUGCCACAGUAGUUAAGCAACGAGCUCAUGUCAUCAGUUGAAACAUUUAGGUUAAUGCCCAAGAUACUAGCCUUAAUGGCAGUGCAUAGACAAACAGCAGCUUCAAGAUCGCCAAGGAGGCUACAGCAAGGGGUCAUUGGUGGAGUACCCAUUGUUGCAUUCAACAAAGCGUUCAGAAGAUUACCGCACAGACCCAGGCUUAGGGUAUCCUUAGGGCAAGCUCCGGUUGAUGGGACUGGUGCUGGAUCGCUUGGCUUAGGUGGUGGCUUGCUUGUUUUUGGUGGUGGUGGUGGUGGGCAAGCGAAAGAGCUUACCAAGGUGAAGAAUAGAAGGUUGAAGGUUAUUAUAAUACAUAUAAUAAUUCAACAUUGCUCAAAAAAAAAAUAAAUAAAUAAAUAAAUGUUGAAUUAAUUUUCACUAGAAUCCAGUACAACAUACAAAGACAGAUAUGGAUGAAAGCAAUCAAGAAGCUUUCAUCACAUAAAAUUUUUUUUAAAAAAAGUUGCAAUUAAGAAAUUAUUGAAUAAAAUGUUUAUAUAGCAGAUAACCAAAUAAAACAUCCAAAACCUGAAAACACAACACAAAAAAAAGAAAACAAAAUCACAAAUGUGCAUAUUUACGCACACUUAAAUCCUUCUGGAACCUUCUUGCCACAAUAGUUAAGCAACAAGCUCAAGUUAACAGGAAGGUUUAGUUUAAGUCCCAACACAUUAGCUUUAAUAGUAGUGCAAAGGCAAACAGCGGCUUCAAGAUCAACAAGAUCACUGAUAAGGCUGCAACAAGGUGUCUUUGGUGGGGUUCCAACUGUAACACUCAGCAAAUCUUUCAAUAGAUCAACACAUACACCUAGCUUUACAGUAUCCUUAGGGCAAGAACCUUUAUUCCCUUUUGGCUUUGGUGAUGGUGAUGAUGGUGUUGGUGGGCAAUUGGUAGAGCUCACCAAAGUAAAAAAAAGAAGAUUUAGGGAGAGGAGAAGGGCAGUGGAGGCUAUAGUUCUUGAAGCCAUUUCUCACCUAAAAUAGUUUCUUGGAUAGUUUUAGAGAUAUGAGCUUUGCUAUAGCUAAAGUUUCAAGAGAUGGGUGACAAUUGUGAAGUCGGUUGAGGGUUUUUAUAGAUGAUGAUUGGAGUUUAUAAUAAUUUCUAUUAUAUUUAUUGAAUUUAAAAAAUCUCCAACAUGUCAAAUGAUGGUUGGUAAUGUGCCCAUAUUUCACUCUUGUUAGUAAUUCUCCGUCUUAUUUAUUCUCUCAUUUACUGUAAUUGCACUCUGAAUGCAAUAUUUAAAAUUUAGAAAAUAAAUUUAUUUGGAUAUAUGAAAGCUGAUUCAAAUGUGAGAGAAGAAUAUACUUGAUUACCUGUGGGCACAUUGGAUUAUUCAUGUAAGAUACACAACCUGGCAAUGCAGGUUGCAUGAUAAGAUGUUUUGUGAUUAUAGAGUUUGGAGUGUUCCUAUUUGUUAGUUGGCAAUUCUCUCUCUGCACAUGCCAAUUAUGUAAUAUUGCAUUUUGUUACUAAUUCUUCAUAUAUAUGUAUGUACUUGUUUUGUUCACAUCUGCAUAUUCUGAUCUGCAAGUUGAAUUUCCAGCUAACUUUAAACAUUAUUGAUGGCUUAACAUCGUAACAAUUGAAAUAAAAUUAACAAUUUACUGUAAAAUUAUGAAAGAUAAUAAUAAAGUUUGUUUUUUUGGGUAAUUAAGAAACCAAAGCAUUAUAAACUUAUAGAGCAAAUCCCAAAUCCUAAAGUCGAAUCAGAGACUUGCAUUGCAAAAUCCACAUGGAAAAAUCGAGAAAGCAUAGUGAUGGAGAAGAGGACACUGUAGCUCUGGUAAUGGCAGUGGGAAGAUAGUAGGUAAGGUGGCCAUUGAAAUGAAGGUCGCAUUGAAAUGAGAAUAUAAUUUUUCUAUCUUAUCUCUGUUUCUUUUUUUUUUUUUUUCCACAAAUAGUAAUAAGGAUUGUAUUUCUGGAAAUUCCUAAUUAAAAAAUGGUAACAAAACAGUUCAAUCUUAAGGAUAACUUCUACGUUUUCCUCCCUAUUUGCAAAUGAUAGGAAACCCAAAACUGAUUAUUGAAGUCAACUUUAUAAUGCCCCCAAAUCCAGUGACAUAUUUUCAGACUGUUGGAAAUAUUAUAAGUCAAUUUCCUGCCAAUCAAAUAUAGUUUGCUUGGUCGUCUUUUCAAUUUUUUUUUUUAAUUUAAGACCAAAAAUCUCAUAUUAGAUUGUUUUCAAUCAUAUAAAAGUCUUAAUCAAUAUUGUAAAAGUUAUUUAAAGGGAAAAUUACCUUCUGCUUUGUAGCAUAUAUACAAGCUUAUCUCAACUUAUAUAAUUUAAAAAAAAAAAAAAAAACAAUUCUCAAACCAUCAGUCAUAAUAAUUAAUUAAUUACUUGUGAGCUUUUACAUUGAAUAGUACUUGACAAACACGAUGUUAGAGAUCUACUGAAUAUUAACUUUGGGAAUUGUCUAUUGAUUAAUCUCAUUCAAAAUUGUCCCUUUUUGGCAUUAAAACUCACAACAGAAAUUUAUAAUUUCAUCGUUCCAUUGGACACAAUAGCCAAUCAAUAUUUCAAGCUAUGCCCACUUCUAUAUAAUCUUAAUUUUCAACUCAUUCCACAAUAAAUUAUAAAAAUCUUAAUUUUCAACUCAUUCCACAAUAAAUUAUAAAUAAGCUCACAAAAAUCAGCUAACUUUGAUUAUAAUAUUUCUGUUUUAAGUCUGGUCUUUAGGAGAGAGUCAUAUAUAUACGCUUUUUAUAUUGAUUUGAAUUUAAUUACUGAAGCUCUAAUAUAUUUAAUAGCCUGUAAAUUAAGUGAUAAUAUAAAAAGUGAAAAGUUCAAACAUUAAAAUAUUUCAUUUUCUUUGGAAACCAUAUUUCUAACUAGUCUUUACCUGACAAAGAAUCAUUUGUUGCAGUUUAAGUUGCGAAACGAAGAGAUAUGUUAUGGAAGGUCUAUGCUUGCAGAAGAUUUGGAACUUAAGGCAACUGCCCAAUGGUAACCGCAUCAAGUGUAACACUUGAAAUUACAAAUGUAAAAUAUGUCAAGAAAAACAACACAACCAUGCAUAUUAUUUUCAAACAUCAUAUUAUUACUUGAAAAUUUCCAAUUAAAAUAAUAACAACAAUUUGCCAAAAGAAUACGCAUUACAAUGAAAAAUGAAGUCAGUAAACUUUCUCUGCAACGAGUACGUAACUGCAAGAAAUUAUUGAUUUACCCAAUAAAAAACCCAAAUUAAGCCAAAACACACACCAUUAAUUAGGACGAGAAAGAAACUGAAUGAAUAGUGCAGUAUUAAUCUAUGGACAUUUGAAUCCUUUGGGAACCUUCUUCCCGCAUCUGUUGAGGUACAAGCUCAAGUCAAGUGGAACAUUUAGGUUUAGGCCCAAAACAUUAGCUUUAAUGGCAGUGCAAAGGCAAGCACCAGCUUCAAGAGCAACAAGAUUACCAAGAAGGCUACAGCACUGUUGAUUUGGUGGGAUUUUAAUAAUCCCCAACACAUCUGCACAUACCUUCAGCUUUAGGGCAUCAAUAGGGCAAGUGGCAGCGCUCGUCAUAUUGAAGAAAAGAAGGUUAAGGGAAAGAAGCAAGGCAAUGGAAGCUACAGCUCUUGAAGCCAUCUUGGAUUUUUUUUUUUUUUUUUCUUCAGGAUAUAAAUGAGCUUUUGUUUUGAUGCUGAUGAGAAAUAGUGAAGGGGUUUUUAUAGAGGGAGAUUAAGCGUAAGUUAAUGUUAAACAGAUCAAGAAUGUGAUCCAUGUGGGCAUUAUUGAACAAAAGUAGCUGGCAUGCGCAGUGAAGCAUAUAAGUUAUGUCUUAUAAUCAACAUAUGGGCGCACGUCGAGUAAUCGUGUAAGUACCGAAUAAUCCCAUGAUCUUCAACUUCAGGGAUUAGUUUUUAAUUAUUGUUCGUAGCUCCUGGAAUUACUCAUAAUUAUUCUUUACGUGAAAAUUGAGUUUUAAACGUGCUCUUGACCAUACUACUUUCACAUUUUAUUUGUGGGGAUCCAUAGAUCUAGUAUAGACAAGUUAAUCCCAUCAAUAACACUCUUUGCUGUUCUCUCUCUUUGAAUUCUCAUCCUUUUCUAUCUUAUCUCUGUUUCUUUUCUUUUUCCUCGAAUAGUAAUAAGGAUUGUAUUUCUGCAAAUUCCUAAUUAACAAAAUGGUACAAAACAGUUCAAUCUUAGGGGAUAACUUUUACGUUUUCCGCCAAAUUUGCAAAUGAUAGGAAACCCAAAACUGAUUAUCGAACACAAUGCACUUAAUAAAAUCUUCCACUGUUGGAAAUACUUUCUUGUUUAUCAGCAAAUAAAAAUUUUAUUUUAGUAAACAAACAUAUCCAGGAAAAACUUAGCAAAAUUAAGAAACUUUAUCCGAGCUAAUAAACCCUCUAAAUACAUCCAAACCUACUUAAAAAUGUUAAAUGAAAAAAACCUGAAAAACCUUAAAAUUAAAAUACAUAUUUAUCUUCUGGAGAUAAAAAAGAAUGAAUUUAAAACCAAAACUGAAUCGAAUCAAAUCAAAGUACCGUGAAAGUCAAAAAUCUACUUAUGACCCAACCCUCAAUAUCCAAACUGAAGAACCAUUUGCUCUUAUCCUCUAAUCAAAGCCACCUAACCGAAACAUAAUUAUAACCAUAGCCAAAAAAAGUUCUGCAUAAAUUACUCCUUUGUUUUAGCUAGGUUAUCUGCAAAACAAUUUUUUUCUCUAUUAACAUGUUUGAAUUGAAAGAAAAACAAAGAAUCAAGAAGAAGUCAAGUCUAUUAAAAUUGAACGGCCAUCUCCAAAGGCGAUGAUUAUGUUGAGUUACCCAGCCGAAGACUACUCUAGAAUCUGUCUCAAAAGUAAUUGAAAUUUUGGCAAACUUUAAAUGAACAUAAAUCUCAACGGCUUUUGACAAAUCGAAUAACUGAGCAACAUUUGACUCUUUUAAAUCAACGGAUUCAUAAAAACUCAUAAGAUAAACCCUUGCAAAUUCCUCAUUACACCUUCAAUUUCCGCUAGGUCAGGCUUUCGUAAGGCACAUUCAUCUGUCAAGCACGAUGUUAUAGAUCUAUUGAAUAUUAACUCUGGGCAUUGUCCAUUUAUUAUUCUAUUUCAAAUUUGUCCCCUUUUUUGGCAAAAGAAAUUUCAUUGCAAUAACCAAUCAAAUAGUUCAAGCUACACCCACUUUCAUAUAAUCGUAAUUUUCACGUCGUCCGUAAUAAACUAUAAAUAAUCUUACAAAAUUAGCCAAUUUUGAUAUGGUUUUUGAUUAUAACAGUUCUGUUUUAAAUCUGGUCUAGAAGAGAAUCAUAUUUUUUGUAGGCUUUCUGUAUUAUUUUGAAUUUAUUUAUAUUGAAAUCCUAAUAUAUUUAAUAGUGGGUAAAUAGUUAAGUGUUUGAUUUUGAUAAUAUCAAAUGUGAAAAGUUCAAACAUUAAUAUUUCAUUUUCUUUAGAAAUCAUAUUUCUAACUAGUCUUUACCUUAAAAAAAAUAUUUCUUGCAGUUUACGUGGCAAAACGAAGAGAUAUGCAAUGUAAGGUCGAAGAUUUGGAACUUAAUGCCCAAUGGUUACAGCAUCAAGUGUAACACUUGAAUGUGAAAUUCAACGAUAGGAAAUUACAAAUGUAAUAUAUGUCAAAAAAAAAAAAAAAAAAAACCAACACAACCAUGCAUAUUCUCUUAGAACAUCAUAUUAUUACUUGAAAAUUUCGAAUUAAAACAAUAACCGUAAUUGGCCAAAAGAAUACACAUUACAAUGAAAAAUGAAGUCAAUAAAACUUUCUCUGCAACGAGUACGUAACAGCAAGAAAUUAUUGAUUUACCCAAGAAAAAUCCCAAAACAAGCAAAAACACACGCCAUAAUUAGGAGGAGAAAGAAACUGAAUGAAAUAGUAGUGGAGCAUCAAUCUAUGGACACUUGAAUCCUUGUGGAACCUUCUUCCCGCAUCUGUUGAGGUACAAGCUCAAGUCAAGUGGAACAUUUAGGUUUAAGCCCAACACGUUAGCUUUAAUAGCAGUGCAAAGGCAAGCACCAGCUUCAAGAGCAACAAGAUUACCAAGAAGGCUGCAGCACUGUUGAUUUGGUGGGAUUUUAAUAAUCCCCAACACAUCGGCACAUGCCUUCAGCUUUAGGGCGUCAAUAGGGCAAGUGGCAGCGCUUACCAUAUUGAAGAAAAGAACGUUAAGGGAAAGAAGCAAGGCAAUUGAUGCUACAGCUCUUGAAGCCAUCUUGGAUUUUUUUUUUUUUUUUUUUUUUUCUUUUAGGAUAUAAAUAAGCUUUUGUUUUGAGGCUGAUGAGAAACGGUGAAGGGGUUUAAGGGUUUUUAUAGAGGGAGAUUAAGCCGAAGUUAAUGUUAAUUAAACAAAUCAAGAAUGUGAUCCAUGUGGGCAUUAUUGAACAAAAGUAGCUGGCAUGCGCAGUGAAGCAUAUAAGUUAUGUCUUAUAAUCAACAUAUGGGUGCACGUCGAUUAAUAUUGUAAUCUGUGGGUGCACCGAAUAAUCCCAUGAUCUUCAACUUCAGGGAUUAGUUUUUAAUUAUUGUUAGUAGCUCGUGGAAUUAUUGAUAAUUAUUGUUUAUGUGAAAAUAGAGUUCUGAACUCGGUCUUGACAAUCGUAUUUUUACAUUUUAGUUUGAAAGAUAAACAAUCAACCAAGCACUGCUGGAGACUAUAUAGAACGCAUUUUCAAUUUCACAAUUCUUUUUGUAUUCAUGAAAAGCUUCUAUAAUGAUGGUUAAUGGAGUUUAAACUCAAGUCUUUUCCUCUCUCCAUGAACUCUAUUUUUUAAGUUAAAGGUGGGCGAGAGAUUAAAAUAGUUGAAGAAACCAAUUAGCUAGGUAUAAAAAUUGACUAAUAAAGGAUUGUAAUUAAAAGAUAUUUUAUCUUGGAUGGAUUAAUCUCACAAUAAUAAAAGCUUAGGUCUCUGUAACAUAUAAGUACGAUUAUAUAUGUUUAGAUAUCACUUUCUAUUUUUUGCAUUAACACCCUUUUUGAUUAAAAUUGCCUGGAAUGCUAUUUUGUAUGGAUGCACCUGCAUUUCUAUAUUGUAUGAAAGCAAGGUUGUUCCGUACUUCGUAUAUAUACUUUUCUAUCGACUUAAAUAAUCAAUCUUAUAAGUUUUCUAUCGACUUUUCUAUACAAAUCACUGAAUUUAAAAAGAUCUUUUAUUAAACUUAAACGUGUCUUAUCUUUGAAGUCAUUUUAUAGCUAAGUAUUGUGAUAUUUUUUACAUAUUAAUAAUACUUAGCUACAUAUGUUGUAUUUGAAAUUCUUUAAUUGGGUGUAAAUUAAUCUAUAGAUACUGCAUAUGCUUAGACAUAUAUAGGCCCUGGGGUAAAGUUUACUAUUUCCUUCUUUUAAUAUUGGAGAAAGAUACUAUUAGUAAUAUUCAAACUCUGAUUAACAUAGCCCAACACGUUAGCUUUAAUAGCAGUGCAAAGGCAAGCACCAGCUUCAAGAGCAACAAGAUUACCAAGAAGGCUGCAGCACUGUUGAUUUGGUGGGAUUUUAAUAAUCCCCAACACAUCGGCACAUGCCUUCAGCUUUAGGGCGUCAAUAGGGCAAGUGGCAGCGCUUACCAUAUUGAAGAAAAGAACGUUAAGGGAAAGAAGCAAGGCAAUUGAUGCUACAGCUCUUGAAGCCAUCUUGGAUUUUUUUUUUUUUUUUUUUUUUUCUUUUAGGAUAUAAAUAAGCUUUUGUUUUGAGGCUGAUGAGAAACGGUGAAGGGGUUUAAGGGUUUUUAUAGAGGGAGAUUAAGCCGAAGUUAAUGUUAAUUAAACAAAUCAAGAAUGUGAUCCAUGUGGGCAUUAUUGAACAAAAGUAGCUGGCAUGCGCAGUGAAGCAUAUAAGUUAUGUCUUAUAAUCAACAUAUGGGUGCACGUCGAUUAAUAUUGUAAUCUGUGGGUGCACCGAAUAAUCCCAUGAUCUUCAACUUCAGGGAUUAGUUUUUAAUUAUUGUUAGUAGCUCGUGGAAUUAUUGAUAAUUAUUGUUUAUGUGAAAAUAGAGUUCUGAACUCGGUCUUGACAAUCGUAUUUUUACAUUUUAGUUUGAAAGAUAAACAAUCAACCAAGCACUGCUGGAGACUAUAUAGAACGCAUUUUCAAUUUCACAAUUCUUUUUGUAUUCAUGAAAAGCUUCUAUAAUGAUGGUUAAUGGAGUUUAAACUCAAGUCUUUUCCUCUCUCCAUGAACUCUAUUUUUUAAGUUAAAGGUGGGCGAGAGAUUAAAAUAGUUGAAGAAACCAAUUAGCUAGGUAUAAAAAUUGACUAAUAAAGGAUUGUAAUUAAAAGAUAUUUUAUCUUGGAUGGAUUAAUCUCACAAUAAUAAAAGCUUAGGUCUCUGUAACAUAUAAGUACGAUUAUAUAUGUUUAGAUAUCACUUUCUAUUUUUUGCAUUAACACCCUUUUUGAUUAAAAUUGCCUGGAAUGCUAUUUUGUAUGGAUGCACCUGCAUUUCUAUAUUGUAUGAAAGCAAGGUUGUUCCGUACUUCGUAUAUAUACUUUUCUAUCGACUUAAAUAAUCAAUCUUAUAAGUUUUCUAUCGACUUUUCUAUACAAAUCACUGAAUUUAAAAAGAUCUUUUAUUAAACUUAAACGUGUCUUAUCUUUGAAGUCAUUUUAUAGCUAAGUAUUGUGAUAUUUUUUACAUAUUAAUAAUACUUAGCUACAUAUGUUGUAUUUGAAAUUCUUUAAUUGGGUGUAAAUUAAUCUAUAGAUACUGCAUAUGCUUAGACAUAUAUAGGCCCUGGGGUAAAGUUUACUAUUUCCUUCUUUUAAUAUUGGAGAAAGAUACUAUUAGUAAUAUUCAAACUCUGAUUAACAUUAACAAUAAGCCAUUAUUUGAUUUCUCAAAGAAAAUAGUUUAUUUUAUGAAAUGAAAAUACCUAAUCUUUACAAAAUUUUUGUAUCAUAAAUUUGAAAAAAAUAUCUCAUUAUGUAUAUAAAUUGACUAUUAUAUAUUUAAAAAAUUCACUAAUUUUAAAUUUGAACCAAAAUUAAAAUUAAGAAUAGCUAUUCUAUUUCUUUUUAUAGAUUGUCAAAAGUUCAGGAAUUAAUUAAUAUUUUCUUUUUAUAUGUUAUUACCACGUUAGUCGCGAGUAUAUAUUUAUUUUAUGUAAAGCUUAAUCUGUGUUUUAUCCUAAAUGCUUGGAAAACAAGUGUUUCUCAAAAGGCAGCACAACCAUUGCAUAUUCUUUUCAAAACAUCUUAUUAUUUCUUUAAACUCAGUAACAGUAAUUAAAUAAAAAUAUGUUUAAACUCAGUAACAGUAAUUAAAUAAAAAUAUGUUUAUUGAGUUUUUUUCUCUACAUAUGUUAUUUCUAUUUAAUUCUUAUAUAAAAAUUCUUCUUUGCUGAUAAAAAAAAAACAGUAAUUUGCCAAAAGAAUACAGAUUACAAUGGAAAAAGAAUACAAGCAACCUUCUCUGCAGUACAUAGCACCCAGAAAAUUAUUGAUUUACCCAAAAAAUAUCCCAAAUUAAUAAGCAAAAACCCACACCAUUAAUUAGGAAAAGAUAGAAACUGAAAGAAAUCAUGGACUACUAUAAUUUAAUUAAGGGCACUUGAAUCCUUUUGGAACCUUCUUCCCACAGUUGUUGAGGUACAAGCUCAAGUCAAGUGGAACAUUUAGGUUUAGGCCCAAAACGUUAGCUUUAAUGGCCGUGCAAAGGCAAGCAGCAGCUUCAAGAGCAACAAGAUUACCAAGAAGGCUACAGCAAGGUUGAUUUGGUGGGAUUUGAAUAAUCCCCAACACAUUGGCACAUACCUUCAGUUUUAAGGCAUCAAUAGGGCAAGUGCCAGUGGCAGCGCUUACCAUACUGAAGAAGAGAAGGUUAAGGGAAAGAAGUAAGGCAAUGGAAGCUGUAGCUCUUGAAGCCAUUUUGAGAAAAAAUAACAAUUUUUAUUUUAUUUUUUUGAGAUAUAGAGAAGCUUUUUGUUUUGUUUUGAGGGUGAUGAGAAAUGUUGAAGGGGCUUAAGGGUUUUUAUAGAGGGAGAUUAAGACUAGGUAAUUAAGAAUUAAGCAAAUCAAGGAUGUGAUGAUCCAUGUGGGCAUUAUUGAGCAAAAUAGCUGGCGUUUGGAGGGACAGUGAAGAAUAUAAUCCAUCUGGAUGCAUGUUGAUUAAUCGUGUAGCCACUGAAUUGAAUAUAUAAUCCCAUAUGACCUUCAAAUUGAGGAUUAGUUUUUAAUUAUUAUUAUUAGUUGCUCGUGGAAUUAGUGUUUAUUUUUUAAUUAUUAUUAAUUAACCGAAACUAACAUUUUCAUUUUCAUUUUUCGUAUAUAUGAGAGCUUCUAUGGUGGUGGUUAAUGGAGUAAUCCAUAUAGAACUUUUCACACAUAUACCUCCAACGACAUAUUUUCAACGACCAAUUGCGUAGAAGUAUUAAAAACCAAUUUUUGAACCAGGACCUCUCUUUCAAAACAUCGUCACGCAUAAGUAAUAAUUAAUUAAUUAAUUAAUUAUACAUUGGAGAUUUUACAUCCUUGACAAAUAUAAUGAUAUGAAUAUUGACUUUGGUUUUCAGUUUUCAAUUGAUUAUUGAGCUAGUGCAUAAAUUUACCAUAUAUUUUCGAUAAUUAUUUUUAUAGCCUAUUAAAUUUUACAGGAUUCAUUUACAUUUUUAUAUUUGAAUAAUAAUAACACUCCUCCCCAAAAUGAAAUAAUUUUGCAGAGAGUCAAUCAUAACUCUAUGCUUUCAUGUUUCAUUUCGGUGAGAGGCAUAAUUAUUAUUGAAAUAUGAAAAAAUUAAUCAAAAUUCAGGGUCAAAUUUCUGUAUUAAGCUAACGAUUAUUUUCAUUCAAAAUUUUCUCCACUGUUCACUAAGCUAUGUUAUGGCAUCAAAACUCAAUGAAAAUGUUAUGGUUGUAUUAUUACUCUAUCAGGGAUGGAGUUAGGAAUUAAAAUUAAGGAUAAAAAAAUUUUAUGAGUUAAAGAGGGUGAAAUUGAAAGAAAUUAUUAUUUUAAAGGGUAAAAUAAAAAAUUUCAAUAUUUAUGGAGGAUUCUUUUAAAAAAAUUUAGGGGGGUUGAGGGCCACCGCUGGCCCCCUAAGGACCUAGCUCCGUCAAUGACUCCAUUGAUUUCUUUCAUUCAAAAAAAAAAAAAGAAGCAAACCCAUAUUUGAGGCUGCCAAUCGUAAGGCCAAUAACAGUUCUAGCCACUUUGAUAUUGCACUGUUAGGCUUAGAUAAAGGCCCUGGUGGGGUAAAGUUAAUAUUGGAGAAAUAUAUUAUUAGUAACAUUCAAACUCUAACAUUAAUACUAAUCUCUUGUUUGGUUUCAGAAAUGGAAUAGUUUAUUUUAAGAAAUGAAAUACUUAUUCUCACUCCUUAAAAAACUUUUGUUUUUAUAAAUUUUUUAAAAAAUAUCUAUUUUUUGUAGACUAUUUUUUUUCUUAUAUAUAAUAGUUAUUUAACAUUUAAAUUUGAACUAAAAUCAAGAGUAUCUAUUCAUGGAAAUAACUAUUAUAUUUUAUAUUUCUUUUCGGUUCUGCAUGCCAUUGAUGAAUGGCACGAAAAUUAAACAACUUCAUUUUACUUUGAAUUAGUAGUUAAUAGUAAAUAGUUUAACAAUAUAGUGUAUCAACACUUUGAAUUAAUAAUAUUUAUUAAAUUGAUAAUAACUUCUAUAGUACGGAGAAAUCGAUUUGAGACCGCACAUUUUCUAAUUUUUUAUAAGAUGUGGAAAGAUUAAAUAAACCACAACUAAUUAACUUUUUUUUAUCUAUUAUUAUCACAUUAGUCCGUGAUAUAUUUAAUAUAUGCAGUACUAAGUAGUGCUCAGUGUUUUAUUUAAAUGUUUGAAAGCAUAAAAAAAAAACAUAACUGUUUGCAUGAAUUUGCGCAAUUGGUACCUUUCAAAAAAAAGAAUUUGCGUAAUUGUUUGUCGGUAGGCAACACAACACAUUGCUAGUAAUAUUUUCAAAACAUCUUAUUAUUACUUCAAAUUCAGUAAAAGUAAUAACAAUAAUCUGCCAAAAGAAUACAUAUUACAAUAAAGAAUAAGGCAAUAGAAACCUCUUUCUACAAUGAGCACAUAGCACCCAUAAAUUAUUGAUUUUCCCAAAAGAUAUUCCCAAACUAAUAAGCAAAAACACACACCAGAGAAGAUAGAAACUGAAAGAAAUAAUGGAGUACUAUAAUUUAAGGGCACUGGAAUCCUUUUGGAACCUUAUUCCCACAGUUGUUGAGGUACAAGCUCAAGUCAAGUGGAACAUUUAGGUUUAGCCCCAAGACAUUAGCUUUAAUGGCAGUGCAGAGGCAAGCAGCAGCUUCAAGAGCAACAAGAUUACCAAGAAGGCUACAGCAAGGUUGAUUUGGAGGGAUUUGAAUAAUCCCCAACACAUUGGCACAUACCUUCAGUUUUAGGGCAUCAAUAGGGCAAGUUGUCGCGCUUACCAUAUUGAAGAAGAGAAGGUUAAGGGAAAGAAGCAAGGCAAUGGAAGCUACACCUCUUGAAGCCAUCUUGGAAUUUUUUUUUUUUUUUUUUUUCUGAAGAUAUUAAUGAGCUAUUGUUUUGUUUUUGGGGUGAUGAGAAACGGUGAAGGGGUUAAAGGGUUUUUAUAGUGGGAGAUUAAGAGUAAGUUGAUAUUAAACAAAUCCCACGUGGACAUUAUUGAGCAAAAUAGCUGGCAUAUACAGUGAAUAAUAUAAAUGAUGGUUCUUUUUUUAUUAAAAUUUUCAAUAACUAAUCUAUCACGGGUGCACGUUGAUUAAGUUUGUAGCCUAUGGAGGCACGCAAUAAUUUUAAUUAUAUAGUUUUUAAUUAUUAUUAUUAUUAGUAGCUUGUGGAAUUAUUAGUGAUAAUUAUUUUAUUACAUAAUCCUUUCUUCGCUAUACGUUUUUACAUUUUAUUUAUAGAAUGGAAAGUAGCAUUUUCAAUUCCAUAAUUCUUUUCAUGUUCUUGAAACUUUUUUUUUUCAUAAUAGUUAAUAGAGUUUAACUUUAAGAUUUCUUAUUUCUCCGAACUUUUUUUAUUUAAGUUAAAGAUGAUAAAUUUAAAAUAAUCGAAUAAACCAAUUAAUUAUGCAUAAUUAGAUAAUUAGUUUCCUCUCAAUUUUUUCAAAUAAAGUGUAUAAUGUUUAAUUUUCUUAUCUAUUAUUAUUAUUAUUAUGAGAUUUUCCUUCAUCAAUUUAAUAAAAGUUAUAAAAACAGAAGACUAUAUUUUACUAUGUAACUUAUCCCAUUUAAUUUUUCCGUGGAGAGAAAAAAACUAUGCAAGAAUUAAAGGUAUAAUUUAUUAAAAAUCGAAGGUGGAAGUGUGAAUUUUAAAGGUUUGCAAAAAAGAAUUUUGCAAGUAAAAAAAAUAUUAAAAAUGAAUAUUCAGUAUUGCACCACUCUUAGCUUAAUAAAUGUGGGCUAGCCCAUGAUCUUCCAAAAUACAUGGGAAGAUACAAUUGAAAAUAAAAAAAGAACUUCCUUCUGUAAGAAAAUUCUACAAGCAUAUUAUAUUAUAUAAUACCAUGUUUAUUUAAAUCAUAUAUCAUGUAUUAUUUUAAAAUCCUUAUUAGACUAAUUCAAAAUUUAACAGCUAAAUCUUCAUGAGAUUUGUCAUCAAUUAAAAUAAUAUUUGAUAUUAAUGAAUGGUUAAUUGUUUAUUAUUAUACAUUAAGGAUGAUAAUCUCAGCGUUUGUCUGAAAUAGUUUUGUGAAUUGUAAGUGAGCCUUGCAGUGUGAUUGGGUUAUGAGUUGUGGGAUUAUGAGCCCUAUUUUGAUAGAGAUAAAAAUAAAUUAAUUAAAUUCUAAAGACUCUGAAUUGUAAUUGUGCUUAGCUAGUAAUUGUAAUUAGAGGCUAAAUAUUAUAAAUAUUGAUAUAAUAAUACGAUUGGUUUAUCUAGACAUAAUCUAUGGAUCUACUUAUGGACUAUACUAAUUAAAAAUGUAUUUUUAUUACAAUGAAUUCAUUUAUAGCCAUGCAGUGAAAGAAAAAAGGAU